CAGAUUGUUGCGUAAUUGGUAACGUCUAUACAUUGGGUGUAUAAUUAUGGGGGUUCAAGUCCCUUCAAUCUGA
Molecule: transfer RNA, 73 nt
Filed under: Metschnikowia bicuspidata
Lineage: Eukaryota; Fungi; Ascomycota; Pichiomycetes; Serinales; Metschnikowiaceae
Also listed under: 1 other name
Description: tRNA-Pro
Rfam family: tRNA
About the family: Transfer RNA (tRNA) molecules are approximately 80 nucleotides in length. Their secondary structure includes four short double-helical elements and three loops (D, anti-codon, and T loops).
Source: RNAcentral